AGAGUUUGAUCCUGGCUCAGAGUGAACGCUGGCGGCAGGCCUAACACAUGCAAGUCGAACGGCAGCACAGGAGAGCUUGCUCUCUGGGUGGCGAGUGGCGGACGGGUGAGGAAUACAUCGGAAUCUACCUUUUCGUGGGGGAUAACGUAGGGAAACUUACGCUAAUACCGCAUACGACCUUCGGGUGAAAGCAGGGGACCUUCGGGCCUUGCGCGAUUAGAUGAGCCGAUGUCGGAUUAGCUAGUUGGUGAGGUAAAGGCUCACCAAGGCGACGAUCCGUAGCUGGUCUGAGAGGAUGAUCAGCCACACUGGAACUGAGACACGGUCCAGACUCCUACGGGAGGCAGCAGUGGGGAAUAUUGGACAAUGGGCGCAAGCCUGAUCCAGCCAUGCCGCGUGGGUGAAGAAGGCCUUCGGGUUGUAAAGCCCUUUUGUUGGGAGAGAAAAGCAGUCGAUUAAUACUCGAUUGUUCUGACGGUACCCAAAGAAUAAGCACCGGCUAACUUCGUGCCAGCAGCCGCGGUAAUACGAAGGGUGCAAGCGUUACUCGGAAUUACUGGGCGUAAAGCGUGCGUAGGUGGUGAUUUAAGUCCGUUGUGAAAGCCCUGGGCUCAACCUGGGAAUUGCAGUGGAUACUGGGUCACUAGAGUGUGGUAGAGGGUAGCGGAAUUCCCGGUGUAGCAGUGAAAUGCGUAGAGAUCGGGAGGAACAUCUGUGGCGAAGGCGGCUACCUGGACCAACACUGACAC
This 749-nucleotide ribosomal RNA is filed under the name uncultured soil bacterium. RNAcentral's name for it is "bacterial SSU rRNA". It matches the Rfam family "Bacterial small subunit ribosomal RNA", at positions 8 to 746 of the family's 1533-position model. The record is from RNAcentral.